This is a long non-coding RNA of Pseudopipra pipra, 832 nucleotides long. RefSeq lists it as uncharacterized. The record is from RefSeq and is a predicted model, not a curated record. NCBI's taxonomy places the organism in Eukaryota, Metazoa, Chordata, Aves, Passeriformes, Pipridae. The transcript is spliced from 2 exons.
ACAACCGGGUAGCUGUGUUUGGGGGAGGCGCGGCUUCCGACCCUGGCACAUGGCGGGAGUACGCCGAUGGCCUGUUGGGCGUCAGAAAGUUCGAGCGGAGGAGCGCCAACGCGGUGCCGAUGGAAAGGUUUUUGUUAAUUUUUAAUUUUUUUCCCCUCUCUGCCCCAAUGGACGGUUGGAGGUUGAAAAGGGCACUGGAGGGAGCCCGCCUUGGCAGCUGCCCCAGCCGCGACAGGAGAAGAACAACCACAGGAUGAAUAGUAUGGAGACAGUGAAGAUAAGCUUACCUGAAUCUCUCAGCCAUUUCUUGUGGGAGACCAAGAGAAGUUCAAUUAUGAAAUGUGGAAAAAAGAAAUAGAUGUCUGCAAGGAGAUCUGCGGGACUCCCAAAAACAAUGCCUUUAGCACAAUUAAAUGACUGCUUGGACUGUUGUGAUUCUAUACCCAAGUUUAUGUUUUAAGGACAUUGUAUUUCUACCCCCCGUUUUACCCUAUUUUCCAAUUUUCAUAAAAAUCCCGAUUGUUCUGUAUUCCCUGUUAUUCCCCUUUUUCCUUAUUGGCUGCUCAGUGCUGCAUUGCAGCUUUUCCUUAAAUGGCUAUUCUUUUCCAUUUGCUAACCUGUUGUCUAUCUCCCCAUCAAUCUUACCAUCCAAGGAGAUGAGGCUACCUAGGUAAUUGAUGAUUAUUCCUUUCCAUUUAUGGUUAUGUCCAACCCCUAAUAUGUAUCCUAUUAGCAUGCUCCUCCCUAGCUCCACCUACCCUUCCAGCACCUUCCAUCCUUCCCUUAUGUAAGCCGGCGCUGCCUUUCAAUAAAGGGCCAUUUCACCCUCUAA